Long non-coding RNA from Bos taurus (domestic cattle), 2835 nucleotides. NCBI's taxonomy places the organism in Eukaryota, Metazoa, Chordata, Mammalia, Artiodactyla, Bovidae. The record is from Ensembl.
CUUGGACUUUCUUUUUGAAAGAUUUAAAUACUUGGUGUCUGAAUAGAGCACUGGGGGAGAGAGUUCAGGAGUUCAAAGCCCCAGGGAUCUGGUGCCUGUGGACAGGGGAAUGUUGUUCUGGAAGGCGAGAGAAGCCCAGCCUUUGUUCUCAUCCCACAGAAACAGUCCUGGAUUCACUGCAAGAUUGGCAUCCGCCUAUGCCAAUUUGUAAAUACUUUUGGAAAUGCCCUUUGCCCAGGAGGCACUUGGCGAAACCUCUUGCUUACUGUGUGGCCAGCCAGCCGUAGGAGAGGUUGAAGGUGAGCAGAGCUGGGAAGGCAGUGAGUGACCCCAGGGAGAGGUGACGAGGAGGCCCCAGCAGGAAGGGCGGUUCGAGGUCUUUCCUGGACGGUGCACGAGACGAACCCGUUCCCCACCUGCUCGUCCCACUCUAGCUCGGGCCUUGCCAAGCUUCUGGGUGAGGCCGUGUGCUCUGGCACAACCCGUGUUUCCCUUUCCAAACCUUAAGCCCGGUGCUGUUCCCACAGCCCAGCUCGGCAGGCUUGUGCUGUGGAACCAGAGGAGGCAGCCUGAUUGGCCGGGCAGGCACGGUGCUGCGGGGCCCCUGGCCUGACCACCCAACAGGUCAGAGCCGUUAAAGCAGGGCAGGACCCGAGAGGGGGGACUGAGAUGCACGAUCGCUCACCCAUCCCCGCAAGGCUGAGGAUCUGCACAAACCUGCUGUCGGUGACGUUUUUCUUGAGAACAUUGGAGAAAUCUGAAUGUUGAAUGAGUGUUACAAAAGCCACAGCUUAGAACGCAAACUCCACCUGAGUUUGACCCGUGCUGAGUUGCUUCAGUUGUGUUCAACUCUUUGUGACCCUAUGCACUGUAGCCCACCAGGUUCCGCUGUCCAUGGGAUUUCCCAGGCAAGAAUACUGCGAAGGGCCGUAUCAUCCUGGGCCUCCCCUGGCAAGCUCACCUCUCACAAGGCUGUGGCUCAACUCCUCUGGGUCUUGUGUGCGGGGCAGGUGAGUGGACGGGCGGUCUGCCCAUCUAAUGGCACCCGUGCCCUGGAUGGAGCCACCGCUGGGCACCCACACCCUCCACUGGCCUGGCCCCCUCCCGGCCCCAUUCCUGGACCUGGCUCCGCCUCUGCCCUUCUGCCCAGCCCCAUUCCUUCCUGGGUCUCUCCUACACUGCCCAGCAGGAGCCAGACACUCUUUGGGCACACUCCCUGAUUCCCGGGUGUGGGCGGGCGAAAGCAGAAGUGCAGCGGGGGGCACGGUGUUCCCCCGGGCUUCCCCACACUUCCACUUCUGAUGAGCGGGGAAACCAUUCCCUCCUCUGCCCUCAGAGUCUGUAAUUUCUCCUGCAAGAGAGGAACAUGUCUAAAAAGGACAUUAUUGGUGUGUGAGGGGGGAAGUGGGACAAAAAACACUUAUUGUCCAGCAGCUGCACGGUUACGGCCCUUCCUUCCUGGGACUGUUCGUCCAGAUCAGCAGGUGGGUCGAGCCGCACCCAGCAGACACCUGCCCUCACUGGGCUCUGGGUCCCCACGUUUGGGCCAAAUGCGGUGUGAGCCUCUUCCUGGCUGGAAGGGACUGCCUGGCCGAGCUCACCCCUGGGCUGCGGCAGUCGGUGCAGAGCAGGCUUCAGUGAUUUAAAAGACAGAGACGUGGCUGAUUUUGAUUUUGUAGGGCAUUUGCUACCAUUUUUUUUUCUCCCCACAACUGUGCUCUAAAACAAAUCGUAGUAUUUAGAUGAAGGUCAGGAACAGGAAAACCUCUUUUGGUUCCAAAAUAUCUGAGUACAUUGUUUUGCUAAGUGAGGUGAGUUGUGUUCCUUUAGGGCUGAAGUCUGUGGACGGUGUGGGUUGCUGCCCUCUUGUGGCAGAGAAGGGAUCCGGGCCUGGUGUUCCCCACAGACGUGGCCUCGAGCCCGCAUUUGUUGGGACAGUUGGGGAGCUGCUGCUGGGCAGCCUGUGGGGCAGGAGAGACCUCCCCCCUGGUCUCUGCAUAUGAGAUUCCGGACUAGUCUAGUGACUGUUCACAGAAGCGAGGUCUGAGGCCAACAACACACACCUUGGCCGCCACAGAGGAGCUGGGGGACCCUUCCCUGACUGGGUGGCCAGAGCUGAGCCCCCAGAGGCCCCCGUGACCAGAGCCGCGUCCCUUGUGAACAAAAACGAGACGUGUGAAACCAGUCCUCGCUCCCUGCUCCUUCCUUCUCUACUCAGCGAUGGUUACUUCUGCAGAAGUCUCUCCCUUCCCAACUCCUGAAUGGUCCUGCUCUGUCUCCUGUUGGGGCUGAAUCGGGACGCUCAGAAUCCUCGUGCUGAAGCCCUGCCACUCAGGGUUUUGGAGACAGGCUCUGUGAAGAGGUGGAAAGCAGGCUGUUAGGUGGCCCUGACCCCAUCUGACUGGUGUCCUUGGACAAGGAGGAGAUAAGGCCAAGGACAGGGCCUCUGGAGGAGCCACCCUGCUGACGCCUGGACCUGGGCCUUCCCGCCUCUGGAAUGUCUAUCGUGAGCCAUCGCCUGUGGUGUUUGGGUGCCGGCAGCCCCAGUGAAUGAACACGCCUGCUGACAGAAUGCCAUCUCUAAAGGGCGGAGGUUGUAUCUGAGGCUUAAAGGACACAACCGCAUGGACUCCCCUGGGGCCAGGCCACAUGUUGUCUGUCCAGAGGCUCUGGAGAUAAAACACUGAGCAGCUGGCGUCUGUUUCAUUUAAUCGUCAGAGUGACCUACUUUAUAGAUGACCACAUUCUCAGAAGUUAUCCUGCCCAGGGUCACCCAGGUCGUGGGGAUAAGCAAGAUUCAAACUCGGCCGGCCUCCAUCUCUCUCUCUCUCUCUC